Molecule: small nuclear RNA, 191 nt
Organism: Schizosaccharomyces japonicus yFS275
Lineage: Eukaryota; Fungi; Ascomycota; Schizosaccharomycetes; Schizosaccharomycetales; Schizosaccharomycetaceae
Rfam family: U2 spliceosomal RNA
About the family: U2 is a small nuclear RNA (snRNA) component of the spliceosome (involved in pre-mRNA splicing). Complementary binding between U2 snRNA (in an area lying towards the 5' end but 3' to hairpin I) and the branchpoint sequence (BPS) of the intron results the bulging out of an unpaired adenosine, on the BPS, which initiates a nucleophilic attack at the intronic 5' splice site, thus starting the first of two transesterification reactions that mediate splicing.
Source: Rfam
AUUCUCUCUUUGCCUUUUGGCUUAGAUCAAGUGUAGUAUCUGUUCUUUUCAGUUUAAUCGCUGAAAUCACCCCAUCGGGGUGUUUCCGAUUAUUCUUGUUUUUGGGAAUCGCCGAGAGACCUAUGGCUUGCUAUGUCUCUUGGCACCGGUGUCCUUGCCGUUGCACUCCUGGCAUGCGACGCCGAAAACUC